ACUGAGUGGUUUAAAUUACAACAGAAUUGCUCCCUAUUAAAAGGGUCGGUCUAAGACUGAAAAGCUUAGAACUCACUCUUCGUGGACCAAGUUCCUUGCCGCAAAAAAAAAAAUACACGGGAGCGACAAGAAUGAAUAGAAAAGCAGUUUGUGUCUUUCUGUUGGUGAUACUAGUUGCUGUAUCAAUUGUCAGCGCCGCGGGACCGGGUUCACCAAAUCGCCAUGGAAAGAGAACGGACUCCAUGAGCCUGAUCAGGAAGAGAGAGUUUUGUGCUCGAGCCAGGAUGAUAUGUAAUUCUGCAGAAGACGUGGAAGAUGAGCCCGCCUUACCGGCAUUUGAGAGUGAAGAAAUAUGAGUGCAAAUAAAAAAAAUUACAUAGUCAAAUUA
Pocillopora damicornis (cauliflower coral) is the source of this 388-nucleotide long non-coding RNA. RefSeq lists it as uncharacterized. NCBI's taxonomy places the organism in Eukaryota, Metazoa, Cnidaria, Anthozoa, Scleractinia, Pocilloporidae. The record is from RefSeq and is a predicted model, not a curated record.